RNAcentral lists this ribosomal RNA (200 nucleotides) under uncultured Cellulosilyticum sp. RNAcentral describes it as "partial 16S ribosomal RNA". It matches the Rfam family "Bacterial small subunit ribosomal RNA", at positions 340 to 555 of the family's 1533-position model. The record is from RNAcentral. Lineage: Bacteria; Bacillati; Bacillota; Clostridia; Lachnospirales; Cellulosilyticaceae.
UACGGGAGGCAGCAGUGGGGAAUAUUGCACAAUGGGCGCAAGCCUGAUGCAGCGACGCCGCGUGAAGGAAGAAGGUCUUCGGAUUGUAAACUUCUAUCAGCAGGGAAGAAAAAAUGACGGUACCUGACUAAGAAGCUCCGGCUAACUACGUGCCAGCAGCCGCGGUAAUACGUAGGGAGCGAGCGUUAUCCGGAUUUACU